GCUACGGGAGGCAGCAGUGAGGAAUAUUGGUCAAUGGACGAGAGUCUGAACCAGCCAAGUAGCGUGAAGUAUUACUGCCCUAUUGGUUGUAAACUUCUUUUAUAAAGGAAUAAAACGAGGCACGUGUGCCUUUUUGCAUGUACUUUAUGAAUAAGGAUCGGCUAACUCCGUGCCAGCAGCCGCGGUAAUACGGAGGAUCCGAGCGUUAUCCGGAUUUAUUGUGUUUAAAGGGAGCGUAGAUGGGUUGUUAAGUCAGUUGUGAAAGUUUGCGGCUCAACCGUAAAAGUGCAAUUGAUACUGGCAGUCUUGAGUACAGUUGAGGUAGGCGGAAUUCGUGGUGUAGCGGUGAAAUGCUUAGAUAUCACGAAGAACCCCGAUUGCGAAGGCAGCUUACUAAACUGUGACUGACAUUGAUGCUCGAAAGUGUGGGUAUCAAACAGGAUUAGAUACCCCUGUAGUC
Molecule: ribosomal RNA, 460 nt
Filed under: uncultured bacterium
Lineage: Bacteria
Description: partial 16S ribosomal RNA
Rfam family: Bacterial small subunit ribosomal RNA
Source: RNAcentral